Molecule: RNA transcript, 1611 nt
Organism: Zea mays
Lineage: Eukaryota; Viridiplantae; Streptophyta; Magnoliopsida; Poales; Poaceae
Exons: 4
Source: RefSeq, marked validated
UUGUCGUAUCUGAUUAUUUGAUUUUUGAAAAAGGAAAUUGGUUAAUUGGUGUUGACUCCAGUGGGUCAAGAUUCGAGUACCAAUAGGAAGCAGCAUAUCCAUUCCCCCAAAUUCCCACACAAGAACAACCCAAGGAGGAGGGUCCUCCCCUCCAAGAUUCAAGCUUCUCUCUUGGUUUCCUCCGCAGUUGCGAUUCUGCGGAGCGCUGAAUACUACGGUAAUGGAUUCCAAGAAGAUGUAUGUUUGCUCCCUGCCUUUGAUGCCAUACGUCGUCUUCGGAUUCGUCGGCUCCCAACUGCCGUCAGCUCCCAACUGGCAGUCCUAUAAAGUGGAUGAUCCGAAUGCGCCGAGAAUGAUUCUUCUCGUUAUUUUGUACAUCUACGUCAUCUUGCUGGCUAAAAUUAAGAACGACAGGAUCUACAUCGAGACGGCAACUGCCGUGGUGAUAUCUUACGUGUCGCUACUUCAAAUCAGCUGGAGCUACAUCUGGCUCGUUCCCUUCCCCAUUGUCGCGAUCGGCUUCAUCGUUGCUCUGUGCAAGGAGCUCAGUCACGAGGACGAGGCCGGUGGAUCACAUUCACAGGAGCAGAGCAAUGAAGGUGAAGGCGAAGCUACUACGUCUUCAUGGGAAAAGUUCCUCCUCUUCUUCAGUUUCAUGCUGGGGGCACUGACCAUGAUGAUGACUCGGCUGGUGGAGACGGGGCGGGCCAUUGCCCACCGCGGCAUCGUGCCGGCGUCCGAGCUGCUUUGGAAAGCCUCGCUCGUGGUGCUGCUGGUGGCGGUGCACGCAGUGGCGGCAGAGCUGCUGGGAGAGAACGCGUUACUCCUGUGCAUGCCGGAAAUCCUGCCGGUGCUGCUGUGGCUCAGCGUUCGCCUUGACACUGCUGACGACAGGAUCAAGCUGGUCCUGGACAGUAAUCUGCUCCCCGCAGCACUACCUGCAGUCCUCGCCAUGCUAGCGAAGGGCGAGCCCCUGCUCUACUGGUGCAGAAAGGCGUUGGUGUCUUGUGUUGUUUCGGCGCUUCUUACCUUCUACGUUUAUUUCAUGCUGUGCCAGUGGCCGGGAGGACAACGCGAUCGCACGCUCACAGGUUCCUCUUUGCAGCACGCGCUCAUCCAUCUCAAGUCUUGGGCAAAGGUUUUGCUCAAAGCGGUGGCUGUGCUGCUAAUAUUUGUAUGCAUUCUUUCCAACUAGUUCUACUGCAAGAACCGGUGGUCUCAUCAUCAGCCGACCAAAUCUUCGAUGUGUAGCAUGUACUUUUCAGGGGCACAUACUGGAUGAGACAAUGGAUGCUGCUGCUAAAGGAAGAAGAAAAAUUACAAGUAAAGCAGGGAUGCAGGCUGCUUGAAGUUGCAAUGAUGCAAAUCUUUGCUAAAAAUGGUUGGAACUUUAGUAAUCGAUUGUGCUUGUAAUCUGUAAUGUUAUGGUGGCAUCUAUGUUUCGAGUAUGGUUUUGUUCCUGUUUGAACCCAGUAUUUUUGAUGUAUUGGACAGCUAUAUGCCCAAUAUUUUUGAUGUAUUGGACAGCUAUAUGCAUAUUGUCAUGCAGAGGUUGGAAUAAUCAAGUUAUUCCCUUUUCUAAAAAAUAUGUAAAAAAGAUCCUCCAGUUCA